GAUGAACGCUGACAGAAUGCUUAACACAUGCAAGUCUUUGGCGAAUCUGUGCUUGCACAGGCUAGCCAAGGCGGACGGGUGAGUAACGCGUAAAGAACUUGCCCUGCAGACAGGGAUAACAGACGGAAACGACUGAUAACACCUGAUACAGUUGCCGGCACGCAUGUGCCUGGCAAUGAAAAGAGAUGCUGCAGGAGAGCUUUGCGGCCUAUUAGCUUGUUGGUGAGGUGACGGCUCACCAAGGCGAUGAUAGGUAGCCGGCCUGAGCGGGUGAACGGCCACAAGGGGACUGAGAUGCGGCCCUUACUCCUACGGGAGGCAGCAGUGGGGAAUAUUGGACCAUGGGGGCAACCCUGAUCCAGCAAUUCUGUGUGCACGAAGAAGGUUUUCGGAUUGUAAAGUGCUUUCAGCAGGGAAGAAGAAAGUGACGGUACCUGCAGAAGAAGCGACGGCUAACUACGUG
RNAcentral lists this ribosomal RNA (463 nucleotides) under uncultured bacterium. Its description in RNAcentral is "partial 16S ribosomal RNA". It matches the Rfam family "Bacterial small subunit ribosomal RNA", at positions 28 to 507 of the family's 1533-position model. The record is from RNAcentral.